Molecule: ribosomal RNA, 508 nt
Filed under: uncultured bacterium
Lineage: Bacteria
Description: bacterial SSU rRNA
Rfam family: Bacterial small subunit ribosomal RNA
Source: RNAcentral
AGAGUUUGAUCAUGGCUCAGGAUGAACGCUGGCGGCGUGCCUAAUACAUGCAAGUCGAACGAGGUGCUUUUGUAGCAAUACGAGAGUAUCCUAGUGGCGAACGGGUGAGUAACGCGUUGGUGACCUACCCCAAAGUGUGGGAUAACAGUCCGAAAGGACUGCUAAUACCGCAUGUGGUCAUUGAAUUUAGAAACUGAUGACUAAAGGAGCAAUUCGCUUUGGGAGGGACCUGCGUCCCAUCAGCUAGUUGGUGAGGUAAUGGCUCACCAAGGCUACGACGGGUAGGGGACCUGAGAGGGUGGCCCCCCACAAUGGAACUGAAACACGGUCCAUACACCUACGGGUGGCAGCAGUAGGGAAUAUUGCUCAAUGGGCGAAAGCCUGAAGCAGCAACGCCGCGUGUGUGAUGAAGGCCUUCGGGUCGUAAAGCACUUUUCUGGGAGAUGAGAAAGGACAGUAUCCCAGGAAUAAGUCUCGGCUAACUACGUGCCAGCAGCCGCGGUAAUAC